Cucurbita pepo subsp. pepo (vegetable marrow) is the source of this 782-nucleotide non-coding RNA. NCBI's taxonomy places the organism in Eukaryota, Viridiplantae, Streptophyta, Magnoliopsida, Cucurbitales, Cucurbitaceae. The record is from RefSeq and is a predicted model, not a curated record.
UAAUAACGCGAAGGUCGCAGGUUCGAAACCUGCAUGGGCCAAACAAGUUUUUAACGUUUUUUGUUUUAAAAUUCCCGUUCUUUGUCCAUCACCCUCCUACCCAAUUUCUGAAUUCCAUUUGUUUCCUCUUCGAUCCGUGUUUUAAAAAACUCCGUUUCUGUGCCCCCAAUUGCAAUCCUCCACCAUCGUCAUCCAUGGCCUCUGCCGAUUCACUUACCUUAGAACCCACGGUGAGCCUCCGCCAGGUUCCAACCCCCUCAUCCUCAACGCUGGUUGAUCGCUGCCUUCUUGUCGGAUCCAUUGGUGCUGGUUUCAAAAUAUCUGAGAAUCAAACAAAAGAAAGUGGGGGUCGUGAGUAGAUUUUGGUGUCCAAUGAUAUUUUCCUUUUAAACCCAAAAGAUGAAGCUUUUGGAAAAGGAAAUUGUUAGGUUGUGGUACCAAGAAGCUCCAUAUUGUGAUUGGAUUUUGUAGAAAGAAGCAAAAUUGAUAUCUAUUUGGUGAAUCUACGUAUUCAUCAAUCUGAAAUGUUGGGCUUUGAAGGAAGAGGAGUUCUUUAGUUUUACGUUCCCCUCUUUCAUGCACAUGAAUUCUAGGAAUACGUAUGGGACUUAACAUUAGUAAUGAGAUUAAUGGACUUCUUUUACUUUUGUCCCUUUAUCUAUAUUUAAUUGUUGCUCAUAAUGUAAGCGUACGUGGCAUCGCGUAGGAUAAGUUUGUAUUUUGGUGAAUUCAAUAAACAAGUGUUUGCCUCUAAGAAUAUAAACUUUGACCCGUGUUUUUAA